Podarcis lilfordi (Lilford's wall lizard) is the source of this 105-nucleotide non-coding RNA. The record is from the annotation of a GenBank genome assembly. Lineage: Eukaryota; Metazoa; Chordata; Lepidosauria; Squamata; Lacertidae.
UCCGGACCGUAGCUGUCAACUUUUUCCUUUUCUUGCGAGGAAUCCUAUUUGGAAUAAGGGAAUUUCCCUUGAAGAAAGGGAAAUUGUUGACAGCUAUGAUCUGGA